This 437-nucleotide ribosomal RNA is filed under the name uncultured bacterium. RNAcentral's name for it is "bacterial SSU rRNA". It matches the Rfam family "Bacterial small subunit ribosomal RNA", at positions 29 to 474 of the family's 1533-position model. The record is from RNAcentral.
UUGAACGCUGGCGGCAUGCUUUACACAUGCAAGUCGAACGGUAACAGGGAGCUUGCCCUGCUGACGAGUGGCGAACGGGUGAGUAAUGCAUCGGAACGUACCCAGUCGUGGGGGAUAACGAAGCGAAAGCUAAGCUAAUACCGCAUACGUCCUGAGGGAGAAAGCGGGGGACCGUAAGGCCUCGCGCGAUUGGAGCGGCCGAUGUCGGAUUAGCUAGUUGGUGGGGUAAAGGCCUACCAAGGCGACGAUCCGUAGCGGGUCUGAGAGGAUGAUCAGCCACACUGGGACUGAGACACGGCCCAGACUCCUACGGGAGGCAGCAGUGGGGAAUUUUGGACAAUGGGGGCAACCCUGAUCCAGCCAUGCCGCGUGAGUGAAGAAGGCCUUCGGGUUGUAAAGCUCUUUCAGACGGAAAGAAAUCGCAUAGGCGAAUACCC